This 274-nucleotide ribosomal RNA is filed under the name uncultured bacterium. Its description in RNAcentral is "partial 16S ribosomal RNA". It matches the Rfam family "Bacterial small subunit ribosomal RNA", at positions 523 to 796 of the family's 1533-position model. The record is from RNAcentral.
AUACGGAGGGUGCGAGCGUUAAUCGGAAUUACUGGGCGUAAAGCGUGCGUAGGCGGUUUGCUAAGUCAGAUGUGAAAGCCCCGGGCUUAGCCUGGGAACUGCAUUUGAUACUGGCAGACUAGAGUAUGAUAGAGGGGGGUAGAAUUCCUGGUGUAGCGGUGAAAUGCGUAGAUAUCAGGAGGAAUACCAGUGGCGAAGGCGGCCCCCUGGAUCAAUACUGACGCUGAGGUACGAAAGCGUGGGGAGCGAACAGGAUUAGAAACCCCAGUAGUCC